This is a long non-coding RNA of Struthio camelus australis, 1812 nucleotides long. RefSeq lists it as uncharacterized. The record is from RefSeq and is a predicted model, not a curated record. NCBI's taxonomy places the organism in Eukaryota, Metazoa, Chordata, Aves, Struthioniformes, Struthionidae.
CAACACAUGAAAAGACAUAGCGAGCACAAGCUCCUCGGUCUAAAAACCUACGGUACCGUGUUCCGGACUGAGGGACUGCAAGGCUGAUUCACAGAAGUGCACUGUAUUCCAGGAAAACACUGACUUACUGUAUCCAGAUUUGACUUUGUCUUGAUUGUUUCAAAUUCGUAAUCUCUUCUAAAAUGACACAAGCUUUUCAAGCAUGACCACGAUACAAGCUUUUCAGGCACGACCACAAAUUAAAUGAAAAAUAAAGUCUGCUACAACUUGAAAUACUUCAUGCUUUUUAAUUACCAGGAGGAUGUGGCAGGAUAACCCAGGAUAUACAUGUAAGACAGCAUCUCGCAAGUGGACAGGGAGGGCUGACGGCACAUUGUUGCAAGAAAAGAGGAAAGGUGAUUCUGUACGUGCUUUUUGACCAAAGUUUCCUACAUCUCCUCACUUCCAGCAGAAACAGAAAAACAAGGUGGGACUGCUUCUGAGAAUUCAAGGUGAAGGCUGACUUAAAACAGCAUAUGUGAUAGCCAACAGGAAGAAAUUUAUGCAAAGAGAAAUCACAGAAACGUAGACAAUUCAGGGGGAAGAUGACUGAUCCGCUCUCUUCACACUGCUACUGCUUAUUAAUUUCAAACUUCCUGCUCUGAUGAGUUUCCGUUCUCCUCAAAACACCAAGCUCCUAUCCUACUGAUACUUGAUGCAGUACUUCAAUUUAAACAAUGUUCUGUCAAAAACUUCUCUUAUAAGAGCUUAUUAUGUAUUUGGUUCAUACGUGAACUGUGCAUACCGCAUUCAUCUUCACAAUUACUGCAGUCCAAUUGGGCAAUUCAAAUUAGAAGUCUUGCUUACCAUGAGACAAAGCUUUUUUGGACCUGAACGAUGUCCUGCUGUGAUGUUUCUUGGGAAAAGAGAAGAUGAGUAGCUCAUGUUCACCACCACAGAGAAGGAAUUUAUACGGAGUAUAUUCAAAGGACUUCCACAAUAUGAAAAAAUAAGGAGAGUACACCGCAUGAUAAAAACUGGUGUCCGUGAUCUGGAGAGUUUACAGGGUGGACAGGGAGGACAUAAGGACUUAAUGAGCUUAGCUAAAGCAAAGAAGUUUUUGCUGGAAUUAGUAUGGAGAAUAACAAGAGUCACAGGGAGAUAUUAAAGUGAGACACACUUUUCUGAGAGAGCAGAAUAAACGUAAAAUGAAAGGAUCCAGUAUUUUCUCAGAGCUAAGGGCUAGAAAGUCAGAGGUCAUGGAUGGUAAUGAUAAUUACAGGAGUGAAGCAGGCUUAGACAGGGAAAUUGCCAAAUAAAGAAGGAAGGAAGAAAUGAUCCAAAUACACAUUCUCACAAUAUCAGGGGUGAGAAAUGGAAGAGGAUGGUGUGGAGAUGGACAUUAAGAGCUGGAGCAUAAGCUUCAGCUUAAGCAUAAGCUAGUCAAGAUUUAAGAAAGAAAGAAGGAAAAGGAAAAAUUUUAGCAAAUACUGUGCAAGGAGACGUGCUGGUAUCCCUGCUUAAGAGACGGAUUUUUUUUCUAGGAUAAUUCUAGGACUCGAGGAAAAUGGAGUAAACACCUUAUAAUUCUGGGAGACUUACAAGAGGCUAAGUAACUAGAUUAAGCAUAGCGUACGCAAUUAGAAUCUUAAGAGAAAUAGGUGAUAACAUUAAUUCAACGUAAAUCCAUCUUUGAAUAUAUCUACAUUUUUUAAUACCUGACAAUAAAACAGUUGGCAUUACACAAACGAGAAGGAAACACAGUCUCCUGAACAGGCAAGAUUUUAGGAAUAAUUUGAAGAAAAAACAUGAAGGCACUAGAAAGGCCUAACC